GAACCAGCCCUCUGCUCGGCUGCUUUAGGAAAUACAGAAGAAUAUCCGUUCUGAAGGAAAGUGCAAUCUCAUUGAGGAGAUGAGCUGCAUAUCUAAAACAACAAAGUAGUAGUGUAAAAUAUAGGAUGAAUAAUCAGCAUGAGUGAAAAUAAAGGGCCUACAGAUUCAGAGGAGCUAGGUAGAAAGGUAGAACAUGAGGGAGAGGAAGAAGAGAAAGUAAUAGAGUAGGAGGGACAUUCUUGAGAGCUAUAAAAAAGUGAAAGGAAAACAAAGACCUGCAGAAUAGAAGUGGUAGGAUCCUUUAUCCCAGGCCUCCCUUUCAUUUCUGACUACCAAAGUGAUCUUCAGGGGUUCAUGCUAUGGCAAAGCUGCCCAUCUACAGACUUGUUCUCACCUAGACAUGGACUCCUGCUCAUUUGUCAAAAACCCAUUUUACCACCAGCACAGACCAAAGGUCCACGUGUCCCUUGUUAGAAUCCCAUGCAGAAAAGGAUGCUGUCCCUGUGGGAAGUCACUCUGGAUUUGGUGACAGUAACUUCAUUUUAGGGUCAUACUCAUCCUAUAUCCAGACACACCCCUGCUUGAAGAUGUGUUGGUCUGUCCUAGUGUACAGGAGUUUGGUGUGACUUCUUUUAAUUUUCUAGGUAAUUCGAAGUGCUAAUGAUAUGGAUAUUCGGGAAUCCUGGUUUCUGCACACUAGCUAAAAGCCAUUUAACACUCAGGCCGCCCUACUUGGAAGACGCAUGGCUCAGAGAUGCCUGGCUGGCAAGGCAUGGGUCUGUUAAAAGGAAAAGUGUUAUUUCAGCAGACUCACCACAGAGGCCUCUCUCUUGGUGGCUUUUGGGCCAUCUCUACUGAGAGCCACAGCCCAGUCGGAAUGGUCCCUGGCAUUUUGCCAGAAGUAGUGGUUGAGAGGUGACACCAGCGAACUAUUGAGAUGAUGACUUUUGAGUUCUAGCAGAGUUCCCGUUGAGUUCCGGUUGAGCUUCAGGGAUUCCUGAAGAGUUCCAGUUGGUUGGUGGAGUUCGUUCCGGUGCAGGGAGUUCUGGUUGGUGUGGUCCCUGGAAGGACCGCGUGGGUGGCCUUGGGGGGAGUUCGGAAAUAAAGUUUGUUCCUGCUUGAGUGGCUCGUGAUUUGUGCCCAGCCAGACUGCGGCAAUCUCUUGUGUUCCUAUCUUUGUAAAUAGACUCCUCUCAUAUCUGCCUCCAUAUUUAUAUGGUUACUGUGUGUGUGUGUGUGUGUGUGUGUGUGUGUGUGUGUACUUUUGUACACCUGUUUUGUGUCUAUUAACGGCCAUGACUGCUAUGAUUUCUAAGAGGCAGAUGGAGACACAGAUCUUGCAUGAUCUGCCCAGCCUCUUUUUGUACCCCUACUCCUCAUUUCCUAAGUUCCAACCAUAUUAGUCUCCUUUCUGUUCCACCUGAGUUUAGCACCUGCUGUUCACUUAGCCUGGAUCUUCACCUGGCCCCUAUUUUGUUUGGCUGAAGUUCUCAACUUACAGGAUAUUUCCUUUGGGAAGCCUUGCCUGCUGUCCCCUGGCAUUCUCUCAUGAGGCUUUUAAACCCUUCAUAUUCCUUUUUUCUUCUAGAUCCUAAGUUUCAUGAGGGCAGGGAGCGAAUCUGUCAUAUUCUUGCUGUAUCCCCAGCAUCUAGUACAAGUCUGAUAUAAAUAAUUACCUAAAUAUAAAUUGAAUAAAUGAAUGAUUCACUAUGUAAAAAGGACUUGAAACAAUGUAAUAAAGGAAAUGAUAAAAACAGAUGAGGGACUAGAUAAUGCAAUCGUUUAGAAAUGAAUUCAGUACUCACCCUUACCAAAAUGACUCAAAUUUAAAAUGAAAGUCAAUAUUAAAGGAUUUCUAUUAACUUAAUUUUGUCCGAAGAAACUCUUUUCCUUAAGAGGGAAAAAAAGAGUUGUACCAAGAUUUAUUUUAAAAGCUUCAGAGACAUCAAAUCAUUUUUAUAAAAUAAAAAAAAACCCUCUAGAUGAAUGUAUUUGAGUAGAAAUGCCCAGAAACAUGUGGAUUGCAUUUCCCUUAAACUCUCUUGGGUUUGCAAAUUGGAAAGAAGGGACUGGAAUAAAAUGCAUUUUCUAUUUUCCUGAAGUUGGUAUAUUUGGGAAACUGUGAUAUUUGAGAUAUUCAGGAAACUGAAAAUAUGUGUGGGUACUUGUUUAAGUACCGUUAUUUCCAGUACUACAUUAAAGUAGCUGAUAAGAAAGAGGAAGUGGGUAUUUAGCAUCUGAAAAGAACCAAUUCAAAAAAAAAUUUUUUUUUCUGUGUAGCUUUCACACAAGAGAAAUCUCCCUCUGCCUCCCCUCCUUGACCACAAUCAAUAUUUUUAAGGGAUGAAGACAGGAGGAGGAAAGAGUUUAUUCAGUCUUUUGUAUGCGACUGAGCUGUGAAAACAGGAUGAAGAUUUUGCUAAAUCUGUCCAUUAAGUGCCUCUAAGUGCUUUUAAAACAUGUCCUAGAGCAGAAUGGAGGGCACGAGAAGGAGAAACUGGGAAUUAAGGCUAAAUUAGUACAUUUCAGUGUCUUGAUAGUGAAAAUGUCAAAAAAAAAAUAGCAGGAGUGACAGAAGAUAAAACUUUAGAUACUCCACUUAAAUCUUCUUUUGUUGAGUAUCCUUAAAAGCUGAAAAGUUGUUUGAGUUUUUAAGUGGUCAAAUUAUGUGAUUUUUGCAGAGUGAGAAAUUAUUUUUCUGGUUAUCUAUCAGCAUCAAUAUGUAAUUUUCCCCUAGAGUGUGAGAUAAGAAGAACUGGGUUAAAACAUACCAACCUAAAUGCAUGGUAUGAUUACUAGACAUGACAAUAACUUCUGACAUAAGUAGCUAUUUACUUUCUAAUUGAGAUAUUUAAAACACUUUCAACACAAAAUCAACAGUUUAAUUACAUAUAAACUUUUUUUUAAAUAAAAAGGAGAAAAAAGUAAAAGAAAAUAAUUUUAAUAAAGCAUAUCAGUAAUAUUGCAUGUGGACAAAAAAGUUUAGAUUAUAUCAACCUCUUAUAUUUAGAGAUAAUAGUGGAAAGAGCCAUCCAUUUUUACAUUUAUAAAUUACGGCAAAUUCAUUUGUGUCUGAAAGGUGGACUGCUAGAGCCCCCUAGCUGUGGGAAAUAAUUCUGUCUUCAUAGGUGUAGAUAAAUAACCUAAUUGCAAUGGUAGUAAGUAGUUCACCAAUAAACCUACUGGAAACCAGUAAAAUAAGAUCAUAUGACAUGACAACUUCCCCAACACUGUUGUACUACCAUUUGGGUCCGCAGUAAUAUCAACACUUCCAUAAGCACUCAUGGACAUCUAUCUUGGCCUUCCACAUCUUGAACUUCUGGGCAGGGCUGUAUCAUCACCCUUUCCCCUAUUGUUUUGAUUGGUUUGAAUUAGAUGAGCUCCCACACACAGAAGCAUGGUGAGUCUGAUCAAGGCAGAAGAUUCCAGUUCUGUCUUUAACAGACAGAGGGUCUAUUCUAGGGACUUUUGGAUGGCCUUAGUCUUGGGACUAAUCAGACAAAUGUGUUCUAUUUGGUUUUCACUGAGCUUUAAAAGCUUCUAAAUAGCUAUGUGGCUUAUGUAAAUUAGAACAUUUGAGAUGAAAAUCCAUAUUUAAAGCUUCACUUGAAAAAUCCAAUGAUCUUGUAACUCUGGGACUGAGUGCCUAGGAGCACCAAUAGGCAAGUGCUAAUCAUGCUUAACAUAAGCGUGGCACAUACGACUUAGUCCACCACAACUCCUAUCUCUUCAUAAUGGAUAAUAUAGCAACCAUAUUAACUGCUUAGAAUCUGUUGGCAUCUGAGUUAGCAACUCUUGACCUAAACCCUGAAUAAUUAUACUAAGAAUGAAAAUAAGGCUUCUAGUAAUUCAUUGUUACUAUGAAUCAGGCACAGUGCAAGGUCCUUUAUGCUCAUUACCUCAAAUCUUCAGAUUAGCCAUUCAAGCAACUAUUGUACUUAUCUGCUGGGGGACAUCUUUUAAACCAUGUGUGAACUGAUCAACUAUGGAGCCAUUAGGCAGGGAAGCCCAGUCUUGGGACUUCCCAGGAAGAAUCCACUGGUUGGAGAAUACAUAAUUCAUGUUAACAUUUUUCUAGCUCUCUGCUCAAGGCUCAAGCACAGCUCUGGAGAUGGGAGGAACCCUCUAGAGCCAAACAGCCUCCUGGAGAUGGGUGUAGUUUGCCAAAUGCCAAUCAACCUGUUUACUGCAAGACCCCUGCCACCCAGAGAAGCAAGCACCAAAACAAGACUUCUGCCACUGACCCCUUAUGCUUACCUUUGAUGUACUCCCCCUUAAAUAAAGAAUCAGGGCCUUUUUCAGUUGUUCAGUUCCAGUUCCUAUCAGAACUGGAAAACCCAUCAGUCACUCUACUUUUUAAAUCAAAUCUUUGGCUUUGUCUUAUUUCUUACUGAUUAUUUCAGACUUUUUAUCUUCCCAGGCAGCUCACACUUCCUGAACAGGAACCUGCUCUGUCGGGGUGCUGGCCACCCCAUCAUACGUGUCUUAAUGAGGUUUUCAUUCAAAUUAAGUAACUCAACAAAUAUAUAAUGGGCACCAUUCUGAGCCAGGUAUUUUAGUAAUUACUGAGGAUACAUUGCUGAAAAAGACCGUUAUCACCCUUGCCCUCAUAGAGCUUUAGUCAUUGCAAAGUGAGAGUGUAGAUCACUGUGGGGAAUAAAGAAGGAAGAAUUUAUUGUGGAUGGUACCAGUGUCCCCAAACUUACAUCAGAGUCAGCUGGAAAGCAUGCAUUCCCCGCUACCUGCUCCAUUCCCUUUCCAUCUCUGCAUUUUCUGAUUUAACAGAUCUGUAGGGCCAGGAAAUCUACCCUUUUAAAAAAAUUGUGGCAAAGUGUCUAUAGCAAUUUUUUAAAUAAUUUUAACCAUUUUAAAUAUACAGUUCAAUAGCAUUAAUUCCAAUCACAUUAUGUGCAACUAUUCAUCUCUAGAACUUUUAUCAUCUUCUCCAUGAAACUAACUCCUUUCUUCCCUCCCUUAGCUGCAUAAUGUCUUCCAAGUUCAUUCAUGGUGUAGCAUGGAUCAGAAUUUUUCUUCCACUUAUGUAGAAACAACAUUAAAUUUAUUUAUUUAUAUGUUGAAGGACUUUGGGUUAUUUCUGUCCUUUUGGCCACCAUGAAUAAUGCUGUUAUGAACGUGAGUCUAACAAUGUCAGUUAAAAAGGAAUCUGCAUUUUUACCAAUAAUCCAGAUGAAUCUGACUCAGGCAGGUCAUGAGUUAGACAUUGAAAAUUAUGAUUAGGCUCUCUGAGAAAUUGACAUUCAAACUGACUCUCAAAGCUUGAGUGGGAGUUGACUAGGUGAAGAGAAUAAACAGCAUCCACCCUAGAAGUGUGGACUUCAACUCCUGAAAUAUUGAGAUACUGGAAUUGCCAUAAGAACAUACAUCAGCACUGAGGAUUAUGAGUGAGUGUCAUAACUUAGUUGAGUACCUAAAACAAGAGUUUUUCACCAUCCAUUCCUUUAACAUGUAUGUGUUAAGUGCUUUCUAUCUGUCAGCACCUUGCUGAGUAUAAGAAUAUUUCUUAUAUUACCGAGUCCAUUUACCCAUUCACUUGGAAUGAGCCGGGCAUGUGCUAAGUGCUGAAAAAUUAUAGGAAAUUGUUACACCAUAUAAUUUUAAUUGUUUCACAAAGUCUACAGAUGUAAUGUAUAAAUAUUAAUAAUUUUCCCCUAUCCUGAUCCCAAGAAAUGCCAAAGAAUUAUUUAAAACUCAAUGUGCCUAUAGGAAUGCACCUGAGCCAAUGACAUUAGAAUUUUUUUCCUUAGCUUGAAGUGUGGGAGUUAUAACUGGUGAUGAUUUCAGAGUGUUUGAGGCAUUCUUUAUUUCCACUAUUAAUCCAUUCUUUUGUUACUGAUGAAAUAUUGGCAUUGAUUUCUUGGUUUCCACUUUUAAAAAUGAGUCCCACAUUUACCAGCAUUUACAAAUGCUAUAAAGGUUACCUUGACACAUUGAUGAGAAAUCUGUGGUUCUUUGAAAAGGUAAAUAGAGGAAGUCUUUCAUGAUUAAAUCACUUUAAAAAAGACCUGAAAUUAUGAAAAAAAAAAGCCUGGAGGAACAUGAUUUUUAAAAUGCUUGAAUCAGAGAUAAAGGUUUACAACAGCAGACAACUCAAAGAAAUUCAGGAGAGUACUUUUUUGAAUACUUGCAUCAUUUAACUUGGAUGAUAUUUAUUGUACUAUAGGUGGUUAUUAGCAGAUGGCAAGUUUCUUGAAGGUAAGGCUGUUUCUUUAUCAUCUUUGAAUAGCUCUCAGCAUCAACACUGAGUAACUCAUAGUAUGUUAUGUGCUGGAGCCUGCCAUAAUAAUAGAAAUCCAAUAAAAAUUCAAUGAUUGGACAAACAAAUGAACAUGAUUCACAGAAGAGCAAUUUGGAAAGAAGCAAAAAUGAGUUACUAUUUGUUUAAAAUGAGCACACUUCUGUGUUAGGGAAGGCAGGCUGCAAGUCACGAGAUUUAACAUGAAAACAAAAUAUGGCAAAUAAAACCUCACUUUUUUCUUUUUCUUAAGGAGAAGAAGAUCCUGGCUCAUCCUGCAGAAAAAGCCCUUCUCAGAUGUAUGGCUACCACUGUCUGGAACAGUAAACCAGACUAAGUGUCAGAUCAGGCCAAGAGAAGUUGAAUAUCCUGUGCUGCCUGGGGUUUCCAUAUGGCUCUGCUUGGCGCUGCUCAGAAGCAUCUCAGAUCGAGCAAUAAAUUAUACAGUCACCCUAAUUUAGAGUACUUCAUAAAAUAACAGUGAAAGCUUACAUGGUGAUUACUAGACCCUGAGUACUAUUCUAAGUGUUUUAACUCUGAGCUCAAUACUGUCAUUAUCCCCAUUUACAGCUGAGAAAACUGAGGCUUGGAAAUUUUAAGUAUAUAGUUGGUGCCAAGUUGCACAGCUAGGAGAGGAGACCAAGAUUUGCGUCUAGGCAGUUGGCUCCAAAGUCCUUAGCCAUUACACUAGGCCGCAUCUGAGGAAGAGCUUGAUAAAUGUCGUUCCUGUGAAUGUUAUCAUAAAUAAUAAAGAAAGAGAGGACAGAUCUGGGAAGCGUGGUGGGAGGGUAGGGAGUAGCUUCACCUACUUCUCAAUUUGGACUUAAGUAUGGCCCAGAAUACAGCUGUCAGCCAGAUGUUGUUUAACCUUUUUUGAGCCUCUGGAUCCUGUCAAAUGAAAAGAUUAGAACUGCUGAUCUCUGAGGUCUCUUUCAGCUCCAGAUAAUAGUCUCCUAUUCUAUGAGUCCUCAUUACUGCAUAGCAUUUCUCUGGCUAAUAUUCCAAUACACUUCUUUCUCUUUUUUCCCUUCUGUUUUCGGCCCCUCCGCACUCAUCCUCCAUCCUCUGUCCAUAUGGCUUUCCUUGGUGAUCUCAUCCGUUCCCAUGACUUCAACGCUCACCUCUCUGUGGCUGACUCCCAAGUCUUUAUCUUAGCCCCUUCCUCUCUCCCAAGAUCCAGACCUGCAUUUCCAGCCGUCUGCGGGACUCCCUCCUAAGUCUCAUACUGAAAACUGUAGAUCAGCAUGUCCAGGGUCAAACUCAUCACUUUCCACGCUUCGCUAUUCAGGCACAGCGUCCCGCCUGUCCCUUGCAUCCCCCUCUCAGGCAGGUGUUGACACCUCAGAAUUUCACCUCUGUCACAACUUCCUUCCUUUCUUUCCAUUCCCACUGCUCAGACUCCAUUCGGCCCCAGCCCCCCUCCUGGACUACUCCUUCCCAACUCCCCCAGUUCUCACUGCUGGGGUGAACUUCCUGCACUAGGCCUGGAGUCUUUCAUAACAAGAGCACUCAGCGUUUUCCCAGGGUCUGCAGAGAAAAGACCAAAUGCUUUUCCAGCUGUAUACUCACUCCACUACUGAGCUCCAUAUAUCUCAUAUGCCCAGUGCUCCCCAAUUACAUAUGUAUUUUCUUACCUUUGGCAUAUGCUGUUCCUAUUGCUUAAGGCUUUUCCCUUCUAUGGUUCUUUGCCCAUCUUUCAAAAGAUUUCUUUCAAAUACCCAUUUCUUUAUGAAGUAUCAAAUUCCUAGGGCAGAUAUCCUCUUUCCUUUUGGUAAACAUUUACAGCACUUUUCCUAUCUCCACAGCACUUAUAUUCUUGUACAUUGUUUCUCUUUUUAUCUCACCAUAGUAGGGCCUCAUCUCUGUAAGGUCCAUCUUUCAUUCUCUCCAAGCCCCAGGCCCCUCAGUCCCUAUCACACCAUCACACAGAAGGAACUUGAUACAAGCGUGAGCACUAAAUCACUUGAUGGAGAUUUUAAAAAAUUAUCAUGGCUGCAAAUUACAGAAACCGAGCUAGACUUUUGUGUGAGUAGAAGGACAGAAUACAGAUUCCCAUUUUCUCUGCCCACUCUUCUGUGGACAGCAGCAUUGCAGAGAUAAGAUUGUCUUCCCGGUCUGAAUUCUAUGUCCCUUUCAAUAGCUUCAGGAAGAGUCUAGUUUCCCUUCCUCUUUUAAAGAAGCUUCUAGGAUUUGGGGGUGGCAACUCUUUGACUGCCUUUUUUCUCUGGCAUGCUACAACCAGAUGGUUCAUGCAAGGGCUCAGUACUCAAGAUUGUGCAAUCCGUAAAGAAGAAGGUUUCUAAAAAACAUUACCCUUGACUGUUUGAGCAUGGAAUAGUACAUUUAGGGAGAAAGUUUUGAAAGUGAUCACUAACUGAAAACAUGCAGGGAUGCUUAGCAAUGGUUAAGAUAACUUUCCACACUAUAUUUAUAUUUGGGCUAGGAUCAAAAACCAGAAAUGAGUUACAAACACAACUAAAGAAGAGCUAUUCAGCAAAGGUCAUUCAUUCUUAAUCUAACAGCUAAAAGGCAACAUUUCAAAAUAUGCAUUUCCUGCUCGAGUUUGCCCUUGGACUAAUAACUGAUUAUGGAAUUUUAAUUUAAUAUUACAGCAUAUGUUGCCUUUCCGAAUUCAAAAAAUCCAUGACUUGACUCCAAAAUCUUUUUGAGUUGUGCAGAAGAAUAGCCUCACAAAAAUAAGGUCAUCAGUGGUAGUAUUUAUAAUAAAUUUACAAUUUCAGAAAAAAUGGAAUCAAUAAAUACAAUUAAUAUUGCAAAUAAACGUCAAAAUGAUGUACUUCCUACCAUAUAAAUGAACCCUGUUUCACACAUAAAUGUGCUUUGUGGCAAUGGUUCAAAAUCCUUUUUCUUCAACAGUAAGCAGAUUGAAUGAAAUAAAAAAUGAUGUGCCAGGACUUAAAGGUACAAAUGGUACAAAUUUCAAAUUAUUGAUUGCUGACUGUGCUUACAGACAUCAAACAAUACUUUUUCAGGCAGCUAUAAUAGUCCACUUCAAUGGAGACGUGAUAUAUUACAGGAAAAUUGAAAAUGUGGGGAGUAUUCAACUAGUCAAUCAUCACUUUAAAUUAUUAAGGUUUUGGGUGGGUUUUUUAAGGUCAUAUAGAAAACAAUGCAAACUAAAUGAAAUAUUGUUAACUUCAAACUUUUCUUACUAAGCACCUUUAUUGUAGCUUGAAAGGUACCAAGAUACUUAGUCAGGACAGAAGUUCACUUUAUGUAGAAGUGUACAUUUGGUCAGAAUCCAUAGGCAGUGAUAUACCUUAAUGGAAAGCACAGCAGGACAAAGCAAUCACUCUUGAGGGACUCAGAAUGUAUUUAUGCAUGUUGUGGACUAACUUCUGAUUUAUGGGUGAGACAUAUGAUCUAACAGAGUGUGAAUCUGAGCUCUUUCAACCUUCCCAUUCAUUUAAAAAUGAUUGUGUCUUCCCCAAAGAAAUGGUCGAGUAUAGCAUCAAAAUUAAGUCAAUGGUCCUGCAUCAUUGCACUUGAAAUGCUCUUUCUGUAACCUAGAAAUGGGAAGCAGAUUUGUGUAUUAGAAAUAUCUAUUCAUUGGAAGUCUUUCAGUUGCAAGUGACAGAAACCAAACUCAAACCAGUCGAAGCCAAAAAGAUAAUUUAUGGUUGCAGGUUAUUGGAAAGUUCAAGUAAGGCUGGAUCCAGAAGUUCAGAUGAUGUCAUCAGGAAUGUGUCUGCUUCUCUCCAUCUCUCAACUGUGCUUCCUCUGAAAGACAUUCAUUCUCAAACUGAGCUGUAAUCUUGUGAAGGGGCCUGACUAUCAGGGCUGCCGAGAACCUGUGCAGUAUGGGAGGAAAUUUUGCUCAGGCAUUCCCAGCAAGAGUGAACUGGUUUAAAAAUUUUUAACAAUAGACUUCAUAUUGAUUUGCAAACUAGGACCUAGAGCACUCUUAGGGGCCUAGAGCCUGUGAUAUGGUGACAUGCACUGUCUAACGCUCCUUCAUACACAUGCUCUUAACCUUGUUCCCUCAUUGGUUUAGCUCAUAGCCCUUGAUGGUCUGCAUUUUGGACUUCACAAGGCAGGUGUCUCUGUCUCUGUCUCACUCCCUGUGUCUCUCCUCCCACCAUUCUCAAACCAUAUCAAAUUUCAAAGCAAGACACCACUGAUCCUUUAUGGGUAACCUCCAUGCCUGGCCAAUCAUGGUGCCCAGCAAGAUGAAAUACUUACAUGAGCCUAGAACAUGUCCAGCCCCACCCCACAGGAAGUGGAGCCGAAUUCAUGGACAGCUCCAUCAAUCACAUGUACAAUUGGAUAGGGGAAGCUGUCCCCAAAAGUAUGUGCUCCACCAACCCCAAAUAAGAAUGGGCCACCUCAAUUAUAGAUCACUGUGCAGAGUCAUGGCCAGGAGUCAUUUUCCCUGAACCAGUUUUCUGAGUCAGCUGAGAGCCACAAAACCAAUGAAAUAAGUCCCACCUGGAAACCCUCACUAGCUGUAGAGGAAAGGAAGGCUUAUUCCUGAUGUGGAUCUCUCCUCAUCAAAAGUACGUCAGAUUGAUAUCUGUGUGCCUAGGCUCCAACACGUGAACACAGUGCUGGGCCGUGGACCCCUGAAGCUGGUAGUCACCACAGGACAUUGGAGAAGGAAAAUAUCUCUUCUCUUGGAAGUUGGCUAAGGAGGUAAAUAUUUUAUUUCUGGUGCAAGCCUGGUUACCUCUUGAGUGCUGCCAGGCAUUACAGGAACAUAUUGGUGGAUUAGAAAAAAAAAUCCCUGCCUUCAGAAAACUCAGCUUUUAGGGGAUCACAAAAAAAAUCAAAUAGAUAACUAUGUAUAAUAUUAUGCAAUUAUAACUGAGAAUGGUGUAACAGGGUAUUAAAGGAACUAGGAGGAAGGAAGAGUGAUUAAUUUUGCUUGGGAUAGACAGAAUGAGCAGUACUCGAGGAAGUAGGGGGUAGAAGGGGUGUCAUGUAGGUUUCACAGGGGUUGACGUCUGGCCUAAAGAAUGACAGGAGGUGUGAUAACUUAGGGGGACCACAGCAUUUCAAGCAGAAGAAACAGUAAGAGGAGGGAGGGGAAAAUCAAUCCAAUAAUAGUCCCUGGCCAAGUUUCCAAGGCCAACACAAGAGACAGGAUUGAAGCAAUUAUUGAGAAAAUUGUCUCAAUCUUUCCUUUUCUCCUGGCUUUGGAAAUUUGGCUAUUGCUACAUUUUUGUAAGAGAAAAGAGUCUUGAUUCCAGAGACCACACAAUGUUAAGUGAUGGAAAAAUUAUUUUCUUAGACAAAACAGAGAAAAACCACAGAACCUGAAUUCAACUGGGGAAAAAAACUAGAUUUUACAAGAAGAGGAAAUGGAAAUAUUUCUUUUCUUUCUCUCUGUACUCUCACUUAAUCCAUUCUUCUCUUUUUUUUUUUUGGUGGGGGGGAGGCAAGGGAGGUUCACUUUAAAUAGCAAAUCCAUUGAGCAGGAGCCACAGUACAGAUUCAUAUAAUGCCUAAUGAGAGCUUAGUAAAAACUUGUAGUAAGAUGAGGGUAAUUAUUCAAAUAAUUUUCAGAAAUUUACUAAUAUCAAAAUCAAAAUCAAGUGUAGCUCCAAGAAUUGAUUCCCAUGCCCUCUUGUCUAUUAUCCUAUCUCCCCAAGGUCUGGGUAGCUUGUUAGCAUUCAAGACUUCCUUUGAAGAUUAAACAGCAUUAAAUUUUUGCCUUGCAAGGAAAGGGAUUAUGAAUUUAUGUGAAAACAAGAGUUGGGUAGAAAUGCCUGCAGAAAUCGAAAGGGGAAUAAAUUCUGGCUUAAAGUCCACAAAAUGUACUGAAAAUGAAUAGAAACCGCAUGGACUUCAGUUUUAGUAUUUAUCACCAUCAUUUCUGAACUAUUUGAUUUGGGGCAAGUUUUUCACGUCUUUAACCCUCGGUUUUAAAACUGAGAUAGUGACGGCAUCUCCAGCAUAAAGUUGCUUUGAGGAUUAAAAAGAAUAAUCCAUACAGAAGAGAUCAACACAUUGCCCACCACGCAAUAUUAUCUUGCCAUCAACAGAAUAAAAGAAAAGACAACAACAACAAAAUCGCCAGUAUUGGUACUAACCACAGAGCAGACAUUAUAUCAAGAUUGCAGUCUGGUACCAUCUACCUCACCUUUUGUCCUUUCAUCAGAGUAUUGACCCUAAUAUGAUUUGGUGACUGUUAUUAUUAUUAUGACAUUGACUCAUGGUAGAUACCACCAAAGGGCCAAAGGAUGGCAUUGUCAGUGUUUUUGACCCUCCUGUUAUUGGCAAAAAGAAAAAAGAAAAAUUUUUGUCACUCUUUUCUGAAAACCUUGACCAUUUUGGUGUCAUAGGCAUUUGAUUGUAAAGAGAAACAUAGGAAAUUCCAAGAGAUGUUAAUGCUGAGCCCAGAAGACCAGGUCAUCAGCCUUUUCCUUAUUCUGCGGGCAGAACUUCUGUCUUCUGAAAACACACUUGAAAUACCUGUCAUUUGAUAGGCAUUAAGUCUUCAAAUUUGCUAACGCUCAACAUUUGCCUUGACCUGCAUGUUCUAAGACCCAUGGAAGUAUAAGUUUCUUACUAAAGAGCAGAGUGGGUAGCAGUGGAGCUGUGAGCUGUCUAUAGAGUUCAAAAUAAGUAUGAAUGUUUCCUUUAUGUUACAUUACAGAAAUAUAUGUAAUUCAGUGCUGCAUAUCUUUAAAAUACAUUUGCCUAUUGGGCUCUUGAUUUUGGAACUGAUUUCUUACAAAGGAGCUAAAAUACUCUUCAAAGAGAGAAUUUAUGUGGAAACAGAAGUCACGACAGAAUUUCUGGUCAGCUGUGUGGUACAUAGACAUGUUGUAUCUUAUUUUUAAAGUUAACUAUUUUGAAAUAUUACUAAUUUAUCAAAUUUAAUAUGCAAAGAAUAAAAUAUGAGUAUUUAGGAUCAUAGAUAUAAAAAUGAAAACAAACAUCUGUAAGGGAGUACUUAAAGCUAUACAUAUGAGCAGUUUCCCAGGACGUUGUUCACAUACUUGCCAUUGAGAUUCACUUUUAGCAGGAUAUGUACACCAAGGGAUAUGUUGACUAUGAUUUAUUGAACAGUUGAACAGUUGCAAGAUAUGGGUCCUUAUGGUCAUCUAUCAUUGUGAAUGAUGAUUUAAGGGAGAUACAGUUUAUAAAAAGAGCAGCGUGAAGUUGAAAUAGCAGGAAUGGGCCAUGUCAUGACUUGUGCUCAAAAUGAAAUUUGAGAAAAAUAAUUUAAAUGGAAAAAUAUCAUCCAUGUUAGAUUUUGCAAAAUGAAAUAAAUAUGACUAUAUACAGUGGGCAAAAAUGUGAUUUCUAUUCCAUAAUUAAAUACUUGUUUCUUAGGUCAAGUUUUCCUAUGACAUUAAAAUAGUCAUUGGCUGGGUCAACAAUGAGUUUUUACCUUUCUUUAAAAGUGUGAAUUUGAGGGACUUUUUUUUUUAAUGAACAAAGAAGCUAUAUACUUUAAGGCUUCUCAUUUCAGGAAAAAAAAAAUCAAUCAAAAGUAGGGGUUUUUGAGUCUACAACAAGAUCUGUCACUUUGCAAGCCAGAGUGUCAGUUUCAUGAUCUGUAAGAGUGAUACAUUCAUAUCCUGUCCUCGGUGCUUAGUAAUUUAUCAGAAUGCUAACCUAGAUCAGGAUCACAGCAUUUGGAGCUCCUGACCAGAGGGAAACUGAAUGGCCCGUGACCAAGAACUCUGUAGUUACCUGAACAGAAAUCCAUACCAGGAUUUUUUCAGAACAUCAUUGACCCUAACACAAUUAAAUACGCUUCAUAAAUAAAAAGAGCUUCGUGGUCAAAUACAUUGGGAACAUAACAAAAUGAGUCUGGUUUCUUUAUUGCAGGAUUUCUCAAGAAUCUUUAAUAAACCAACAUGCAUUGUGAAUCCCAAGGGGUCUCAGAAUGUAGAUUCCUACCUUAUUUUCAUAUGCCAUCACUGUUUUUGUUUUUUAAAGAAAGCAUGUGAAACUCUUGAGAAAAAUUAAGGGUGCCCUAAGAUACAGAUUGAAAAAUACUUGUUUUUUUCUCGAGUCAGAUAUUUUAGAUUGGUAUAUUUUUAUUAACAGGAUGAUAAAGAACCAAAACUACUCAACAGAAUGCUCUUUUAGGGGGAGGUUUCUUGGAAUUCUACAUCUUUCAUUGAAAGGUCUUAGGGUUGUCUUUUCUGUAAUGAGUUAAUUAUGGCUUGUCAGUGAUUUUAAAAUGAACAUUUCCAAACCUAAAGAUGGCUCUAGAACAUAGAAGAACAUGCAACAGGAAAACUAGGCACAAGUGUGAUCUUUUUGGAGCCCUUUGCAUAAUUUUGGAGAUGAUGAGAAUUUAUUUUUUAUGGAUUAAAACAAAGUUGUUAACUGCAGAGCAGAAGUCGGGUCAGACAGAUAUACUGCUCCUGAGAAUGCACUGAUUACAAUUUGUAUUUUAUGGUAGUUGAAAAGUUGGAGUUGCUUGCUAAUGAGAUCAAGCACCAUUACAUAUAUUACUAACAUUCACAGAAGCUGCAGAUUCAUUUUGAAACAUCUUUAUGCUACAUUUGCUCAAAGCAUUGUCUUCCUGUUAAAAGAAUUCACCUACACAUUGAAUUUCCUCUAUAAUAUACUACUGAUAGUCUAAAGAAAUAUUUCCAUGUAUCUCUUUGUCUGAAUUGGAAAGCUAUGCAUUUUUUUGAGUUCUGUUUCUUCUGAAAACUAGUUGUUGACAAAUAAGAAUGUCACAAUGAUUAUAGGACUGAAUUACCCUGUUGAUUUCCUAAUUCGCUGCUUGAAUUGUAAUGCUUCAAAAUAAGUGCAAUCUCUCUAAAAUAUUUUGUCAUCUUAUACUGUUUGAA
Non-coding RNA from Ictidomys tridecemlineatus (thirteen-lined ground squirrel), 15036 nucleotides. NCBI's taxonomy places the organism in Eukaryota, Metazoa, Chordata, Mammalia, Rodentia, Sciuridae. The record is from RefSeq and is a predicted model, not a curated record.